RNAcentral lists this ribosomal RNA (927 nucleotides) under Conidiobolus parvus. RNAcentral describes it as "eukaryotic LSU rRNA". It matches the Rfam family "Eukaryotic large subunit ribosomal RNA", at positions 54 to 953 of the family's 3401-position model. The record is from RNAcentral. Lineage: Eukaryota; Fungi; Entomophthoromycota; Entomophthoromycetes; Entomophthorales; Conidiobolaceae.
ACUAUUAGAAUACAUGAUUCCCCUAGUAACGGCGAGUGAAGAGGGAAAGGCUCAAAUUUAAAAUCCCUUUACGGGGAGUUGUAAUUUAUAGAAUGUUUUGUUAAUUAAUUAAUAGUUAAAGUCUGCUGGAAAGCAGCACUAUAAAGGGUGAAAGUCCUGUUCUAUUAUUAAAUUAAUUUAUAUACAUACAUUUCUAAGAGUCAGAUUGUUUGGGAAUGCAGUCUAAAUUUGGUGGUAAACUCCAUCUAAAGCUAAAUAUUGAUUAGUGACCGAUAGCAUACAAGUACCGUGAGGGAAAGAUGAAAAGAACCUUGAAAAGGGGGUUAAAAGUACGUGAAAUUGUUAUUAGGAAAGCAUUUGCCUAUACUGUGGACUUUAAAAGUUUCGGCUUUUUUAGUUAGUCAUGAUCAGUUAAAACUUUUAAAUAAAGUAAUUAAAAAGGUAGUUGGGUAAACUAACACUUAUAGUUUAAUUAAUAAUUUAAAGGAUUUGACUGAGGAAUGCUUUAAGAUGUUAAGAUGGAGUUUUAUUAAAGUUAGUUUAUUAAGUCAAUUUAUUGAUUAAUGAAAUAAAUUUAAUAAAUUCUUUAGCUUUACUUUUAAACAGGAUCAUGAUUAAGUAGAAUCAAAUGACCCGUCUUGAAACACGGACCAAGGAGUCUAACAUAGUUGCGAGUCAUUGAGUGAAAAACUUAAAGGCGCAAUGAAAGUGAACAGAUAGGAUAAUUAUUGCACUAUCGACCUAACCGGAUGAUUCUUCUGAAAGUUUAGAGUAAGAGCAGUUAUGUUGGGACCCGAAAGAUGGUGAGCUAUGCUUGAAUAGGGUAAAGUCAGAGGAAACUCUGAUGGAGGCUCGUAGCGAUUCUGACGUGCAAAUCGAUCGUCGAAUUGAGCAUAGGGCGAAAGACUAAUCGAUCCAUCUAUGCCA